UUUCUCUCUCUCUCUCUCUCCAUGAACCAAAAUCAGCAAUAAAACAAAACUACAAUGGACAAACUAGUUCACCAAAACACUCAAAAACCGCAAUUUGAAAAUGAUUUGCAGUUUAAAAAGAUCAUAUUAGAAAUUUAUUAACAAAAAAUUGGGCUCUAUUACUAUGCCAGAAAUCAAUUCAACAAAACGCUUAAAAAAACUUGAAAAAAAUUAUAAAUAGAAUGCAUUAACACCUACUAUAUCCAAACACCAAAUUCCCUUUUAGCCCAAAAAAAAUCUUUCUCAGUAAGCUUUGGUAUCUCUUGAUUGAGAGCCAAUUAUUUUUCAAAUUAAGAAGAAAUGCUUUAAAUUUUGCUCAAAAGAAGAAGAUUGCAACAUAUACACAAGAGCAAUGGCUUUGGCAAAAUAAAAAUUUUUCUCUUUCCCUAUUUGUCAUCUUCCUCUCUCCUACUAUGUAUCCUCUCUCUCUCCUCCGAUUUAAAAUUACUAAACAUCAAUUCCUAACAAUCAAACAUCAAUUAUCUAAUAUUACUGCGCAUCAAUUCUUCAUAAUCAAACAUCAAUUCUCCAAAAUUACCGUAGAUAAAUUUCUAAUGAUCAAACACCAAAUCUUUAAAAUUACCACACAAAAAAACAAAAAACCCACCAAAUUUAACCAUCAAACAAAGAACAAUACAAAAAUUCUUAUAUCUCAAAUGAGUGUGAAGGUGCGCAGAGAAACUAAUUUUUGCUUUAAGAAGAGCAAGGUAUUUUAUGGUGUUGUCAAAGAAGGAAAAACUAGGUAUUGGGGAUGGCAUCUUUACCAGGAAUUGAGUCUUUGAGAGGAAAAGAAAAGAAGCAGAAUGGGUAUUGGGUAUUUUUGUACAUAAAACAAAACAGCUCAUUGGCAAGGAUUGUGGUAAGGAAUCGUUGACAGUUUCUCUUCGGUCAUCUCUAUUUUGAACAUCGAUGGUGGUGGUGGCGGCACUGGUGCGUGGGUAUGUUUUUAUGGUUUUUCUUGUUUUUGGGUUUGAUGAUGAAUUAAGGCGAGAGUGAUUUUUCUUGCGAAAGGUUUGAUAGGGAAGGCAUGGGAGAGAGAGUAGAGAGACAUCAAUGGAGAGAGAAGAGAGAGACAAGAGAGAGAGAAUUUUUUUUAUUGUUAAAAUGCUACGUCCACAUAGCCUUCUCAUUGGAGAUUUGAUCGGAA
This 1186-nucleotide unclassified non-coding RNA is filed under the name Hevea brasiliensis (rubber tree). The record is from RNAcentral. Lineage: Eukaryota; Viridiplantae; Streptophyta; Magnoliopsida; Malpighiales; Euphorbiaceae.